RNAcentral lists this ribosomal RNA (429 nucleotides) under Bacteroidota bacterium. Its description in RNAcentral is "Bacteroidetes bacterium partial 16S ribosomal RNA". It matches the Rfam family "Bacterial small subunit ribosomal RNA", at positions 355 to 776 of the family's 1533-position model. Lineage: Bacteria; Pseudomonadati; Bacteroidota. The record is from RNAcentral.
UAGGGAAUCUUCCGCAAUGGACGCAAGUCUGACGGAGCAACGCCGCGUGAGUGAAGAAGGAUUUCGGUUCGUAAAACUCUGUUGUUAGAGAAGAACAGCGCAUAGAGUAACUGUUAUGCGUGUGACGGUAUCUAACCAGAAAGCCACGGCUAACUACGUGCCAGCAGCCGCGGUAAUACGUAGGUGGCAAGCGUUGUCCGGAUUUAUUGGGCGUAAAGCGAGCGCAGGCGGUCAAUUAAGUCUGAUGUGAAAGCCCCCGGCUCAACCGGGGAGGGUCAUUGGAAACUGGUUGACUUGAGUGCAGAAGAGGAGAGUGGAAUUCCAUGUGUAGCGGUGAAAUGCGUAGAUACAUGGAGGAACACCAGUGGCGAAGGCGACUCUCUGGUCUGUAACUGACGCUGAGGCUCGAAAGCGUGGGUAGCAAACAGG